Molecule: ribosomal RNA, 253 nt
Filed under: uncultured bacterium
Lineage: Bacteria
Description: partial 16S ribosomal RNA
Rfam family: Bacterial small subunit ribosomal RNA
Source: RNAcentral
UACGAAGGGUGCAAACGUUGCUCGGAAUUAUUGGGCGUAAAGCGCACGUAGGCGGCUUGGCAAGUCGGAUGUGAAAUCCCUCGGCUCAACCAAGGAAGUGCAUCCGAAACUGCUGAGCUUGAGUACUUAAGAGGAUCGCGGAAUUCCCGGUGUAGAGGUGAAAUUCGUAGAUAUCGGGAGGAACACCAGUGGCGAAGGCGGCCAUCUGGACGGUAACUGACGCUGAGACGCGAAAGCGUGGGUAGCAAACAGG